UAGCUCAGUUGGGAGAGCAUCUGCCUUACAAGCAGGGGGUCACAGGUUCGAGCCCUGU
Molecule: transfer RNA, 58 nt
Filed under: Bacillota bacterium
Lineage: Bacteria; Bacillati; Bacillota
Description: Firmicutes bacterium tRNA-Val
Rfam family: tRNA
About the family: Transfer RNA (tRNA) molecules are approximately 80 nucleotides in length.
Source: RNAcentral